RNAcentral lists this ribosomal RNA (253 nucleotides) under uncultured bacterium. Its description in RNAcentral is "partial 16S ribosomal RNA". It matches the Rfam family "Bacterial small subunit ribosomal RNA", at positions 524 to 776 of the family's 1533-position model. The record is from RNAcentral.
UACGUAGGGUGCAAGCGUUGUCCGGAAUUAUUGGGCGUAAAGAGCUCGUAGGCGGUUUGUCGCGUCGAAUGUGAAAACCCGGGGCUCAACCCCGGGCCUGCAUUCGAUACGGGCAGACUAGAGUUCGGUAGGGGAGUCUGGAAUUCCUGGUGUAGCGGUGAAAUGCGCAGAUAUCAGGAGGAACACCGGUGGCGAAGGCGGUUCUCUGGGCCUUACCUGACGCUGAGGAGCGAAAGCGUGGGGAGCAAACAGG